UCCCCUGUAGCUCAGUUGGUAGAGCGCCUCGCUGUUAACGAGGAUGUCCGUGGUUCGAGUCCACGCGGGGGAGCCA
This 76-nucleotide transfer RNA is filed under the name Candidatus Collierbacteria bacterium. Its description in RNAcentral is "tRNA-Asn". It matches the Rfam family "tRNA". Rfam says of the family: Transfer RNA (tRNA) molecules are approximately 80 nucleotides in length. Their secondary structure includes four short double-helical elements and three loops (D, anti-codon, and T loops). The record is from RNAcentral. Lineage: Bacteria; Candidatus Collieribacteriota.